Molecule: non-coding RNA, 30 nt
Filed under: Mus musculus (house mouse)
Lineage: Eukaryota; Metazoa; Chordata; Mammalia; Rodentia; Muridae
Source: RNAcentral
UGAGAUAGAAGGCCGUUAUUACACAGUCUA